CGUGCCAGCAGCCGCGGUAAUACGAGGGAUGCAAGCGUUAUCCGGAAUUAUUGGGCGUAAAGCGUUCGUAGGUGGCUGUAUAAGUCAGUUUUCAAAGAGUCCGGCUCAACCGGAUAAAGGGGAUUGAAACUGUGCGGCUAGAGUUAGGUAGGGGUAAGAGGAAUUCCUAGUGUAGCGGUGAAAUGCGUAGAUAUUAGGAAGAACACCAGUGGCGAAAGCGUCUUACUGGGCCAUAACUGACACUGAGGGACGAAAGCUAGGGGAGCGAAAGGGAUUAGAUACCCCUGUAGUCUUAGCUGUAAACGAUGACAACUAGGUGUUACGCGUAUCGACCCGCGCGGUGCCGUAGCCAACGCGUUAAGUUGUCCGCCUGGGGAGUACGCACGCAAGUGUGAAACUCAAAGGAAUUGACGGGGGCCCGCACAAGCGGUGGAGUAUGUGGU
This 443-nucleotide ribosomal RNA is filed under the name uncultured cyanobacterium. RNAcentral describes it as "bacterial SSU rRNA". It matches the Rfam family "Bacterial small subunit ribosomal RNA", at positions 504 to 945 of the family's 1533-position model. The record is from RNAcentral. Lineage: Bacteria; Bacillati; Cyanobacteriota.